This 212-nucleotide long non-coding RNA is filed under the name Mytilus galloprovincialis (Mediterranean mussel). The record is from RNAcentral. Lineage: Eukaryota; Metazoa; Mollusca; Bivalvia; Mytilida; Mytilidae.
GCCUGCAGAACUUUAAACCUUAGAUGGUUCUAGAUGGUUUUUUUUUAAUCCAUCUCCGUAAAUUUUAGAAAAGAACGUUAUAAAUCAUGUUAGUAUCAAAACACUCACUACUGAUGGGAUACCAUCGGGAACUAGCAGUUCACCAUAAGCUUAUUGAUCGUGUACUAUUAAAUGAAAUAAAACUUUAUUAUUUUUUUGAAUCUAAGAUUAAC